RNAcentral lists this transfer RNA (72 nucleotides) under Loxodonta africana (African savanna elephant). It matches the Rfam family "tRNA". From Rfam's summary of the family: Transfer RNA (tRNA) molecules are approximately 80 nucleotides in length. Their secondary structure includes four short double-helical elements and three loops (D, anti-codon, and T loops). The record is from Rfam by way of RNAcentral. Lineage: Eukaryota; Metazoa; Chordata; Mammalia; Proboscidea; Elephantidae.
GCCCUGGUGGCGCAAUGGUUAAGAGCUUGGCUGUUAUCCAAAGGGUUGGUGGUUCGAACCCACCCAGCGGCU